This 301-nucleotide ribosomal RNA is filed under the name uncultured bacterium. RNAcentral describes it as "partial 16S ribosomal RNA". It matches the Rfam family "Bacterial small subunit ribosomal RNA", at positions 509 to 809 of the family's 1533-position model. The record is from RNAcentral.
CAGCCGCCGCGGUAAUACGGAGGGGGCUAGCGUUGUUCGGAAUUACUGGGCGUAAAGCGCACGUAGGCGGCUUGGUAAGUUAGAGGUGAAAGCCCGGAGCUCAACUCCGGAAUUGCCUUUAAGACUGCCGAGCUAGUAGGUGAGAGAGGUAAGUGGAAUUCCGAGUGUAGAGGUGAAAUUCGUAGGUAUUCGGAAGAACACCAGUGGCGAAGGCGGCUCACUGGACGCGUAUUGACGCUGAGGUGCGAAAGCGUGGGGAGCAAACAGGAUUAGAUACCCCAGUAGUCCCUGUCUCUUAUAA